RNAcentral lists this transfer RNA (75 nucleotides) under Acidobacteriota bacterium. Its description in RNAcentral is "Acidobacteria bacterium tRNA-Phe". It matches the Rfam family "tRNA". Rfam says of the family: Transfer RNA (tRNA) molecules are approximately 80 nucleotides in length. The record is from RNAcentral. Lineage: Bacteria; Pseudomonadati; Acidobacteriota.
GCCGGGGUAGCUCAGUGGUAGAGCGGCGUCAUGAAAAGGCGCGCGUCGGCGGUUCGAUCCCGUCCCCCGGCACCA